Molecule: long non-coding RNA, 723 nt
Filed under: Mustela putorius furo (domestic ferret)
Lineage: Eukaryota; Metazoa; Chordata; Mammalia; Carnivora; Mustelidae
Description: lncRNA (ENSMPUG00000024750.1)
Source: RNAcentral
CCGGCCUAUUUAUUUUCUUCCAGGCAAAUGAAACUUUUAAAAAUCAGCUCUUCCUGUUAAUGUUAGCUAUUUUGCAUAAUCAGAAGAAUCUGAAAGAUUAUAAAAAUAAGAUUAAGCCACCCAAGAACGUGGGAGUUUCCCAAAGUUCUCUAUGAUGGGGCAACUUAGAUCUGCAUCCCCAAGAGGCCCGAGUUGCUUUAACCCUUAUGGACUGAGGUGGCUGCAGUUCCAGUUCCAGUUAUCAGGUAUGGAGUUUUCACCAAAAGAUGGCUUGAAUCCCUGGGUCCUAGAUAAUAUUCUUUUCUGUCCUAUUACCUGCAUUGUGUAGUAGGAAACCUAGUUUCUCCUAGUAAUUGGGUCAAUUUUCCUUAAUAAGAUUUCACAAGUGGAUCAUUGAGAAUGAUAGUGAAAAGAACCAAUCUGAUUUCUACCCAUUGAUUCUUGGAUCUAUAUAUUCUAGCUAUAGAGGAUCUACACUGUUGGUUCUUUAUAUACUGCAUGCUGGAGGUUGCAGUCUAACCUUAUAUGGUAUUAUGCUAAAGCUAGCACCUUAAAUGCAGCUUUAAUAGGCCCUUCCAUUAUUCUACUGCUGGCUGUCUCUGGAUGAUCAAGUACAGUGCAAGACCAAUCAGUCUCAUAGACAUGUGCCCAUUAUCAUAUUCUCUUUUACUAUCAGAUAGGUCCCUUAGUCUGAGGCAAUGUUGGUGGGAUCCCAUACUGGCA